Molecule: transfer RNA, 74 nt
Filed under: Taiwania cryptomerioides
Lineage: Eukaryota; Viridiplantae; Streptophyta; Pinopsida; Cupressales; Cupressaceae
Also listed under: 1 other name
Description: tRNA-Pro
Rfam family: tRNA
About the family: Transfer RNA (tRNA) molecules are approximately 80 nucleotides in length. Their secondary structure includes four short double-helical elements and three loops (D, anti-codon, and T loops).
Source: RNAcentral
CGGAGUAUGGCGCAGUUUGGUAGCGUGCCAUCUUGGGGUGGUGGAGGUCGCGGGUUCAAAUCCUGCUACUCCGA